GUGAGGAAUUUUCCGCAAUGGGCGAAAGCCUGACGGAGCAAUGCCGCGUGAAGGAUGAAGGCCUAUGGGUUGUAAACUUCUUUUCUCAGAAAAGAAUUAUGACGGUAUCUGAGGAAUAAGCAUCGGCUAACUCUGUGCCAGCAGCCGCGGUAAGACAGAGGAUGCAAGCGUUAUCCGGAAUGAUUGGGCGUAAAGCGUCUGUAGGUUGUUUAAAAAGUAUUCUGUCAAAGAUUAGGGCUUAACCCUAGAUAGGCAGAAUAAACUUUUAAGCUAGCGUUUGGUAGAGGCAGAGGGAAUUCCCGGUGGAGCGGUGAAAUGCGUAGAUAUCGGGAGGAACACCAAAGGCGAAGGCACUCUGCUGGGCCAAUACUAACACUGAGAGACGAAAGCGAGGGGAGCAAAUGGGAUUAGAAACCCCAGUAGUCC
Molecule: ribosomal RNA, 426 nt
Filed under: uncultured bacterium
Lineage: Bacteria
Description: partial 16S ribosomal RNA
Rfam family: Bacterial small subunit ribosomal RNA
Source: RNAcentral